CUUGGAGCCGGGCGAUGGCGUCCUCAGGGCGAAAGUGUGGCGUGGUGGGAGCCGGUGUUGUCACGUCUGUGACUCUCAGGUGUUCCCUUGAUCUGGCUUCCCAGGCUCUUGUCAAGUUAUGAAGAAUUGUGUGAGUGUGAAGACCAGCGGGGAGAUGGAGGCCACUUGAUGAAGAGCCUUGAGCCCACCCCUUAAAGGAACAAGGCGCGUUUCUCCCGAGGCUCUGACAGCUGGCUCCUUCAGCUUCAGCCCCGGUUAUUGAGAUGCAAAUGUGUGCCCGCGGGGAGCGCAGCUGCUGGCUGGCGCUGAGGCCCUCGCCCCAGGUGCAGCCCUACCGAGCCAGCGCCAGCGGGGGCAGCGACGCAGAUGACCCUCCCAGGACAAAUGGAACCGUGGACCCCGUGCAGGAGGAAAGGCAGGUCAACAGUGUAUCCAGCACUGGGGGGCCAGGAUGAGCCCCCCGCCAACCCGUGUGUGACCAGGAGCAGCCUGGAGUCCAGCAGAGGCAGGAGAGGAGGCCCUGGGAGAGGGCCCCCGGUUCUGCUCGCUCUCCUGGGCACCACGGCCACUGUGCUGUCCGCAGGGACCUGGAUGGAGCGGGGCUGUUCCCAGUUCACCUGUCAGCUUUGUCACCUGCCGGGCCAGGGAUUUCGGGCAAGUGACCGAGCCCGCUGGAGGCUAUCUUCCUGGGCAAGAAGGGAUGGCGACAGUGCUGCAGCCUCUGUGGACACUGGCUGCCCCAGCGUUGGCCACGCAUGCCUCGGCCCCUCUGGUGGAAGCGCUCUGAGAAGCCGGCUGUGAGGCCCAGCCCUGGGCACCCACAGAUCCUCAUGCGAGGGCCGUGCCAGGAGCCUGGGAAGGUUCCCCACGGGCUAUGCCCCAGCACAGGAUUCCCGGGCCUCGCUGUGUCAGCGGGGCCUCCCCACCGAGGGCCUCACCUGGAAGGCGGCGAACCACAUAAGCCAAUCCAGGCGGUGGUGGUACGGGGAGAUGAGGCAUGGCCGCCGCUUCAGGUCACCGGGCUUGCACUUGAACUCGUAGUCCUCCCACUUGGCGUCUGGCGCGCUGGCAUUGGGGCUGGCGGUGCCCUGCAGGAUGACCUCCGUGCGUUCCUUGGUGAUGCUGGGUGGGGGGGAGACCAGUCAGGGCUGCACCUCCCCACCCUGACCCCAACCCCUGACCUGACCAGACGAGGGCGAGGCUGGGGGGCUGCAGGUCAGGGCUGGCCUCACCCUCACAUCUCCCCCCUGGGGUCAUGGUGGCCCCGAGGUACCUGCCAAAGGCCCCAUAUGUGUUGACGAUCCGGAGAGGGUUGAAGGAGCUGUUCAUGACCUGCCGGGGGCUCAGCAAGUUGAGGACCACAGGGAUGCUGAGCCAGGCGACCAGGACGCCCAGCGCCAGGUUGACUGUGUGCCGUGCCACGCUGCCUGCCGGGAGGGGGAAUAGUGGGUGGGCUCCUGCCCCCAGGCCUGGCCUCUGUUCGGCCCCUUGGGCCCACAGAAGCCGAAGGAGAUGCUGCUGCCCCCACCACAGCAGCUCCCUCUUAGGCCCCCCCAGCUGAGGUCACUGGGCCUCCCUUCCUGAGGACCAGGACACAAUGUCCAUACCAAGCAGACAGGAGUGACCCUGUCCAGGCAUGGAGAUGCUGCCCUGUCUCCCAGGGCACUGGUGUGGGCACAGGGCUGGGUGCCAUCAACUCGAGACCACCCGGGCUGCCCAGCCGCAUCCGCCUUCAGGUGUCACCCACCGUGUGUCCAUGGGGCCCUGGCCCCUCGAGCUUCCUCCUCCUGCAUCCUCAGGACUUGGUCCUUGAGGCAGCCGGGCCCCGAGGGAAACAGGAAGCCCAGAGUGGCAUCAUCGAAGCAGGCGAGGCUGGGCACGAUGGUCAGCCAGUUCAGGAAGCUCAGAUUCCCGCUGAUGAUGAGGACCAUCUGGGGGUGGAGAGAGAGAUCCCUCCAGCCACUGCAUUUCAUGUGCUCCAUGGUGAUGCAUGGAGUCCACACCAGAGGCAUGGGGGUUGGGGGUCCUGUCCUUCCCAGCAGCAAUGUGCUGACCCCCAGGUGCCCAGGAGGCCAUGGCCCAGGCCCCAAGCCCCCCGACAGGCCACUUGCCCCGCCUCCCUCAGACCAACCCCACAAUGUCUACAUCCUAAAUGAUCUCAGAGGCAGACGCUACCCAGUGCCUCUGGUGAGGACCCCACCUACCAACACUGUGAUUCCGGCCUCUGACCCUGCUUGGAGGCCACUGAAGUUACACAACUGGGAGGUGACAAGUUUGUGUUUGUGGCAACUGUCACCGUGACUGUUAAUCAACAGGCCCUGGGUAGCCCCAGGACUCCAGCUGGCUGCUCAGUGGUCCACCCAGGUGUCGGGGCCAGGACCAGCCCCACACACCUGUGGUACGUGCCCCUCACAGGGGUGGGGGGUGCUUAGGACAGGCUUGUAAGUUGUUUUAGUGACUUGAAAAUGGCACUUUCCUGCCUGAUUUUGACCCUGUCGUCAAGGAUGCGGGCGGGAAUAGGGAGUGGGUGGUCUUCACUUGAGGGGAGGAGAAGAUGCGGGUGGGAAUAGGGAGUGGGUGGUCUUCACUUGAGGGGAGGAGAGGCUGCAGGGUUCACAUCCCGCCCUCCCUACCAGGUGCCAGGCUCUCCUAGAGCAAAGGUGGAACAGAGCAGCCCCGCUUGCCCCCCAGGCAGACGCCUCUGAUUGUGGAGCCCCAGGGACCCCAGUGCCAGCUGCACGCAGAGCUUCCUGUGGGCUGCACAAACGCGGGUGAGGAGAUUCCAGGUGACCACAGUGGGAGGGCAGGCUGGAGGCUGGGGAGGGCAAGAGGCAGAGCCGAGGGCUUCUGGGGUGCAGCCCAGGACACCCCCAUGCCUCCCUAAGCUGGAAGUCCUAGCAGAACCCGGAGCCAGUCCUCCGUCAGAUGUAUGACUGCCAGCUGCGGCCUUUUCAUUACACAGUUUUCAAAGAGGCGAAGUUUACGUUUUUAGGAAGUCCAAGUUAUCAAUUAAAAAAAACUUUACAAUUCUGCUUUUUGUGUCCCAUCUAAGAAAUCUUUUCCUCCUCCAAAGAUGUAAAGAUCUUCUAAAAGUUUUACAGGUCUGGCUAUUAUGUUUAGGUCUUGGAUCCAUUUCGAAUUAGUUUUUUAUGAAAGGUGUGAUAUAAGGUUCACACCAGCCGGCUCUGCUCUGGUCCAGGCUCUGCCCCUGGCUGGGGAGGUGGGGGUAAGACUUGGGAGGGACCAGGGCCUCUGGGAUGACCGGGGUGUUAGGUGCUGGGAGGUGAGAGCACACGGGUCCACGGCGGACGUGUGUAAAGGGAGACAAACUGCCUCAAGCAUGUGCCUCAGAAAAGGGGAAACAAGACACUAGGAGCCACAGGUCAGCAAAGUAGAAGGAAAUGGGGACCAGCACCACCAGCAAAUAAACCCACAAUGAAAAUGGUACAGUCGCCACAGUGACAAGAGAAAUAAGGAGAUUUUCAACUGUCCAACCAAAUGGACACAUUUCUGCAAAAAAAAGACCUGAACGAGCAGACAGCCCCUGAGUAGCAGAACGGCCAUGUCCCUGUCCAGGUCACUCACGCGCAUCUGCCGGGGUCCUGCGGGCCUCCCUGCACAGGAGCCGAUGGGUCGGAGCCACGUGGGGGCAUCGAGGAAGGAGGUGAGACCAAAGACCCAGGCCGGGGGCCCCACGGCCGGAUGAGACUCAGCUGACACCCAGCUCCCCAAUUUCUGAUUUGUAAUUAAAGCUGGGUCUUGAUCCUAGUGACUGGGGAGAACGUGAGGUCACAGACGCCGGCCUCAAAAGGGUCUGGAGAGAGAGGAGCUAGGCUUUCAAUAGGUCAGUUUUAUGGAUCACGAUAGGGUCUUACAGUGUGUGGCAGGAGAUGGUGUGGAUUCACAGCUCUUCCUGGAUUAAUUUGGAAAACCAGUUUUCCUGGUUCUGAGGCCCAAACUAAUUAUUUCUUAUUCUUCACUGUCUAGGAUGUUAACAAACCCCUGUGCCCAAAGUGUGCCCGCCCUGGGCUGGUGGUCUCUCCUGCAGCCCUGCCUGGCCUGUCGGGGUCCCUGGGCCUCUGGUCUCGAGCUGCUUCGGGCCGACUGGGCUUCGCCCUGGAGUUUCCUGAAAACUGCUGGCUCCCGACAGUCUGGGUUUGUGGUGCCGCCAGGCCCUCUUCCACUGCGGGGGUCCCGUGGCCUGGGCCCAGCUUCCCCGUGGACAGCACUGGGGGGGCCCGACCUUCAAUUCUCAUCUCCCAGACCAGCGAGACCUCAGAUGCUCCACUAGCUCCUCCACUGCGUCAGCAAGGGGCUUAAGGGGAACGGUCCCUGUGCCCCUCCUGACACCUCCUGACAAAUGCGUUUUGCUUUGGGGUGGGAUGGUCAGCUGCAUGGGGGUCCCCUUUUCUCCAUGGCUCAGCUGUGCAGCUAAGGCCACCAGGAGUGGUGAUCAAGGGUGAGAACAGGCCGCUUCCCCGAGGGCCUGCCAUCCUGGUGCAGCUGUCAGGGCCACAUGGGUGACAAGAGCCCUCUACUGCCUAAUUCUCGGAUGAGACGGCGGCCAAAGCUGGGAGAAGCACCCGGCGCAUGGCAGCCUCCAGCACCUGGCCUGGGGGCUCCUGCCUAUGUCCCACGGCCCUUGGGAAGGCAUGCGGGGAACAGCCCGCCUUGUUCGCCCAUCACACCACCCCUCAGGGCUGGUCCACACUCAAACCUGGCAGGCAACUGAUGGGCAGCUGUGUCCUCUGCAGCCACCAGCCCAAGCCAUCAGCACCCACCUCUCCACUGACACUCAAACUGCUGGGAAACAUGGCCACCAUAAUGCUGCAAAGCAGGGCAGCCGCGGGCUUCCUGGGGGGCCUACCUGCCCGAGUUCACCCCAGACGGCCUACUCACCAACCUCUCCAGGUGUAGCUGGUGCAGCCUACACCCUCGCUGAGGCACAGCCUCGCUUUGUGGCCACUCGGGGCUCCCGAGACCCCAGAGGCGUCCAGAGAAACCCAGACAAGACACUGCUAAUUUGAAGGACUGUGAUCAGUAAACGGCAUCUAUUCGUCUACACCCUCAUGUGUAACACGCACAACGUUAAAACCCUAACAGGUGAAAAGCAGAAUGAAUGAUGCUGAAGUCUGAAUUAGUGAUUCAGAAGAUUGAUUUGAGAAAUCCUUCCAGAAUGUGGUGCAGAAAUGGGAGAACCUUUGAGGGAAACUACAGAUUCAGCAGAGUCAAUGGCUACACAAUUGACUUUCCCGGAUGAGAAUGAUGUAAAAAUAGACUCGGCACUCUCGAGGCGGAAGGAGGCCUGGGCCUCAGGGGAUGAGGGGUGCAGGACCAGUUACCGGAGCAGGACCUGGGCCCACACAUGUUCUGGCCAUUUCUCGUUUCCAAGGAUGAAUCAUAAGUAAAACAGUAUAAGCAUUUAGACUGAAAAAUAUAAACAAUGAGAAGAAAAGGAAAGAAAAGUGAGGAAGGUGGCCCAAGGUGGUGGGACCCUUGAAGUAGUCGCCACUCACCUCCAUGAACAAGAGAAGUAGGCGGGCAGCAGUGGGAACAUAAAGGACGACCAGAAUGCAGCUGCUGGGCCUGGCCCCAACUGAGAGCUGAGCACAAGGCCUGGUGUCACCCUAGGACCCACUGCCCUGACCGAGGACAAGGCCCAAGGACAACCUGCCAGCCGCCCAUUUCCUCCUGCGUCUCCCCCUCCCAGGCGUGCACUUCCUCUUGCUCCACUGAGCUGACUUUCCCAAGACCCAACCUGCCCCCACCGCCGCCUCCUUUACCCUGGAGAAGCAGGGCUACCCCUCGGAACCCAGGUCCACGUCCGUCCUGCCUCAUCGCUCAGUGGCCUCACGUUGACUUCAAGGCUAAAACUCCACCAGCAACUCCUGCUUUAGGCCAAAAGGGAGGUAGCGGUGCUGGACCCUCAAAGCGACUGUCUGAGAUGCAGGCCUGGGCACUGAGGGAGGGCAGGGCAGGGGGCAGAGCCUGAAGCUGGGGGAGCUCGAGGGGCUGGCUUGCCACAUGCCACAUGGGUGCAGCAGCCAGGAGCUGUGGGUCCUGCCUGGGUCCCCGCAGCUGCUGAGCUCGCAGGGUGGAGAUUCUGUGAGGACAAGGAAAGCACACGACCAAGGCUGUUGCCAACGCUGAGCUCAUGUGGGUCUAGAGGACCUUCCAGUCCUGCGAACCCGUGUGGAGAGACGUGGAGAGCCAGGCCGAGGCCCUGUCCUGUGGAACUAGGCUGGCCCUACAGGGAAGGCACAUUCAGACCUGCCCAGGAGGCUCUGAAACUGAUUUGCAAGUCAAUUAGCUGCUGUCAGGAGAGAAUCAACAACACCAGUGUCCAGCACGCAAUCAAAAGUUAACAGACUCAAAAAAAAAAAAAAAAAAAAAAAAAGUUAACAGACUCCAAGUUGGUAGUUAGUAGCCUGCAAGGCACUAGCAGAGACAAAACAGGCUGGGAGCAGAGUCAGAAACCAGAGAUGGCCUGAAGCCAGUAGAUAAGAAUGUGAAAACAGCUACUGUCAAAAAUUAAGGGGUUUAGGGCUUCCCUGGUGGCGCAGUGGUUGAGAGUCCACCUGCCGAUGCAGGGGACACGGGUUCGUGCCCCAGUCCGGGAAGAUCCCACAUGCCACGGAGCGGCUGGGCCCGUGAGCCACGGCCGCUGAGCCUGCACGUCCGGAGCCUGUGCUCCGCAACGGGAGAGGCCACAACAGUGAGAGGCCCACGUACCGCAAAACAAAAACAAAAACAAAAAUUAAGGGGUUUAAAAGAAAACAUAGUCAUAAGAGAAAUAUGAAAAUGCCAAAGAAUAACCAGAUGAUAAUUUGAGAGUUUAAAAGGUAAUACAGGGACUUCCCUGGUGGUACAGUGGUUAAGAAUCCGCCUGCCAAUGCCUGGGAUACAGGUUCAAUCCCCGGUCUGGGAAGAUCCCACAUGCCAUGGAGCAACUAAGUCUGUGCGCCACAACUACUGAGCCUGCGCUCUAGAGCCCAAGAGCCACAACUACUGAAGCCUGUGCACUCUAGGGCCCAUAUGCCUCAACUACUGAGCCCACAUGCUGCAACUACUGAAGCCCGUGCACGUAGAGCCCAUGCUUCGCAACAAAAGAAGCCACUGCAAUGAGAAGCCCGUGCACCGCAACGAAGAAUGGCCCCUGCUCACUGUAACUAGAGAAAGCCCGUGCGCAGCAACGAAGACCCAACGCAGCUAAAAAAAAAAAAAAAAAAAAAAAAGGUAAUACUGUCAGUCCCCUACAUAUGAACCUUCAAGUUGUGAACUUUCAAAGAUGCGAACAUGUAUUCACAAGUCCAAUCACAUAAGUUAGUUCACGUGUCUGGCAUAUACUGUCAUGUGCGUGCAUCCUCUACAAGUAUUAUGCUUCUGUGUACUUUACUGUACAGUGCUGUAUAGAGUACAGUAUUACAGUAGCUUUAUUUCAAGCCCAGGAUGUCUGGAAGCAAGCGUAAAAGUGUUGAUGUAGCUGGUACUACUAAGAAGCACCAAGCGCCAAGAAAGGAUGAAGAGAGACAAGAGGAAGAAGAAGUAACUGAAGAACCGAAGAGAUUCACGGACGAUGCAGAAAAUGGCAAGGGGAUUUUCUUUAUUUGAGGAGGCACUGUUAGUUUUUGAGGCACAGGACCUGAAUGUAGAAUGGUAUAUGAAGGUUGCAGCAGCUGUUCAGAAUGCAAUCCAGUGCUACCAUGUCAUCUAUGAUGAGAAAAAAAGAGCUACUACCCAAACAUCACGGGAUCGUUUUUUCAAGAGGGUAGGUAGAAUUGAAUCCAGCCAGGAACCAGAACCUGUGCCAUAACGUCAGGCGAGAGUGAAACUGCAGCUUGCCCUCGUCUCCUAUUGCUGAUGAUCCUUCAGCUCUACCAUCUCCCACCUCCUCUCCCUCCUCCAGUCAGUAACUCUUCUUGCCUGUUCACUAGAUGCCAACCCCUGUAUGCCAGCUGUUGUACUGUACUACUGUACUUUUCAAGGUACUGUAAGAUUAAAAUUGUUUUAUUUUUUGUGUUUGUUUUUUAAGUAUUAUUUGUGUGAAAAGUAUUAUAAACCUAUUACAGUACAGUACUAUAUAGCCGAUUGUGGUAGUUGUGUACCUAGGCUAACUUUGUUGGACUUACAAAUUGGACUUAUGAACGUGCUCCUAAAACGGAACUUGUUCGUAUGUAGGGGACUUACUGAAUACAAAACAGAUAAUUUACUGGGUAGGCUUUUGACAAAACUGACACUGUAAAGGAAAAAGUCAGUGAAUAUGAGCCCAGAACAACAGGAACUUUGCAAAGUGAAGCACAAGGAGAAGCAAAGCUGAGCAGAGCCUGGGCAGCCCCUCAGGGCCUAGGGGACAGAACCCACUGGCCUGACAGACGUGUGAUUUAAGCCCCAGGAAGGGAAGGGGGCAGACACAACGUGAAGAAAAUUCUCCUCAUUGAAGAGAACUAUAAACGCACAGGUCACAGAAGCCUAAGAAAUCUCAAAGAGGAUAAACUCAAAGAAAGCCACACCUAAGGCACAUCAAACCAAAUUGCUGAAAAACUGUGAAAAAGGGAAGAAUCGUAGAAGCAGUCAGAGGGGAAAAGUCGCAGACAGAGGAGUGGGGCUAAGGGUCCUGCAGACUCCCCAGCAGAGACGCUGUGGGCAGAGACCAUGGACAGCUGAAGGGAAGACAUCCACCAGCAGCUUCUGCUAAGAAAUAUUAAAAAACCAAAUGAAACAUCCCUCAGGCAGAAGAAAAAUAACCAGGUUGCACACACAGGAGGGCAGGGGGCUGGACAUUGUAAGCCCGUGGGCGAUUUUUAAACACAGACAACCAGCUGUUUAAAUGAAAAGUCACAUGUUGUGGUUGCAAUUGUUGGAAUGAUGGCUGCAAAGAUUUAACAGUGAGUGAGAAUACGUGGUUGUGGCUGGGCACAUGCUCUCGUGGAGGGAAGACCCCACACGUGACCAGCAGGGACCCGUGGGGGUCCUUUCCUUCCCUUGUUUCUGUUCCAAACCAUAGUUAUUUUCCAUUCAAAAUGAGUGCCAUUGGGGAGACUCUUGGUGCCUCUGGACCCGUGAGGGCCACACCCCAGGGGUGCGGGUGCAAGGCCUCGGCCAGCGUGGCUCCCACAGCGGUGAUGCUGCACAGGCUUCCCCUGGCAUUGGUUUGGGACCCUGUCGUCCUGCUGGCUGUAGUCCAAGCCUUCCUGGAGGGACAGACGCCCAGGCCACCCCUGGUGGACCACAAUCCCGCCUACCCACCCACAGCGAACGGGGCGGCAGACCUGAUGGGGCCACUGGGGGCCGAGGAAGAGCCCCAGGGGAGGAGCCCAGCGGCUCAGCACUGUCAGGGCUGCGCAGUCAGCUCAGAGACCUGUGCCUUCCUGAGAGGGCAGCGUCCCCACCUCUGUAAAGGAAAACUGGAAAAAGCAGCACCCGCCCCCGCCCCGCGUGUGAGCACCGGAGAGAGACCAUCACCCUGUAGCCCUGGGGCCACGUGAGCGAGGACACGGCACAGCCUGAGUCAACCUUCUGAGGUCGGGCGCGAUGCUGUCCACUUGGCACGAUGACUUUGGCGGGCGGGGGCUUUGAGUUCUGCUUCCUGAGGAGGCUGUGCUGGUGCGGCCUCAGCCUUUUGCCCAGUGACCCCGUGACCUUCAGCCCUGGCUGCAGAUUCAGGUGCAGGAGCAGCGUGGGGCCAGCCCCAGGGAAAAUCAUUUCUCCAAACAGCUACAGGAGGGCCAGGCUCAUGAGCUGCCCCCACUGCGGGUCAGCGUCUAGCCAGGAUGCCCUUGGCACUGUUCUCUAGCUCCUGGCUCGGGCUCCCCCACUUUCGAGCUGAGGACGCAUCCUCCUGGCACGGCCACCCGAGCGGCCCUGACCCCUGCAUGUGGCAGGAAGAGCUCACAUUGGGAUGGGGCUGAAGCCCCUGAUGCCUGGUCCACACGCCAUGACCCGGAUUGUUCUGGUACAACAGGAUUCUCUCUCUGGCACAACAGGAUUCUCUAUCCCGGUGAGAACUCAGGAGGCUUUGUCUAAAGGCCACCAAGUGGCCGUGGGGUCCUUAUGACCUCUGAGUGAUGCCCGGCUUCCCUCCACCACCCUGGUCCAUUGGGGCCCAAAGACACCCCUCCCCAGUCACUCCACCCUGAGACCAGCUAGGGGGCUCUGACUCAGAGACUAGGGUUCACCAGAGCAGUUUUGGAGAUGGAACUCUGUUUCUAAUAAAGCAGCAGGAGGCCUGAGGAUUCAUAAUGCCGUCUUCGUGCCCUUGUCUGGCACACACUGGCUGUGACCCCACGGUGGGGGCCGGGUGGGAAGACGAGCUGGGAAGUGGGACCCCGGGCCCAGGAGACGCCCCUGAAGGAAGGGGCUAGGUGUCUGGGACUCCCCUGUUGGGCUCUGGGGUCCCAGGGCCUAGCAGAGGACAUGUGUGCUCGCAGAUGAUGUUCUGCAGCCAGGAGCCCCAGGACAGUUAUGCUGUGACCCCAGCUCCGGGUGGGUCACUCAGGGGCUGGUGGGGGCAGCUCUCUGCGCCCAAAGCCGUAAUGAUGUUCCCCACAGUGAUGUCCCCUGGUCUGUGGCCGACAUUACAGAGAUUAGAAAGAGCAGGACAUGGUGGGAGGUUGGGGAGGAGAGUCUGGGAUCUGAGAUGCGUCUUUGCACUGACUAGGAGCCACUAGCCUGGUGAGUGCCCGCUCCACGCCAGGAUGGGAGGUCCAGCCUGGCCUACAGUGGAAGCCGAGCACUGCCCCUCCAGCAUCUCUCCUUGGCAUUAGAGUGGGGGUCUGAGGCGGGGGUGGUGCGCCUCUCCAAGUAGACAACAGGCUGUCUCUGGAGGCCUUGCAGAACCUUCCGGAACAGCUGUGCAAACUGAGAGUGGGAGGAGGUGCGUGUGUGCUCACAUCCUCAACCCUCUCCCGGGGAACGAACGGAAACAAACAGAACCAGGGACCCUCGGGAUCGCGGGCGCGGAGACGGGAGCAACGUUCAAGUCCAGGGGUGGCCAGCACUGUGGCCUGCAGAGGGCCACGCGCCCCCAUGAGACUGCCCUGCAUGCCCCACGCUGCCUGCGAGGCUGGACACGUGCAGCUGGGCCAGGGGGCCAUUUGUCUUCUUUGCUCUGGACAGCUGAGGUCCGGCCCCUGGGGGGCAUCAGACCAGGCCUCAGAGAAGAGCCACAGCCCUGGGCCAUGUCCCACCUUGUCCUGGGCAUGGUGUGGGUGGGGGAGGAUGAUGCUCGGGACACACCUGGACUGAGGCUCCCAAGGCCUUGGGGGACAGAAGGCGAGUGCAUGGCCUGCCUUUGGGAAUAACGUCCAGGGCCGCAGGUUGGCAGCAAGGCCUUUCAAGGUCCUGUUCUGGCCCUACCCUGCCCAGUGUCCUUGUGCCACCGCUGUCCACCCGGGCACCAGACCCAGAAUCAGGUGGAGACUCAGUCAUGUGGCCUGAGCUGCUGGGAGCCGUCUAUACCUGAGUCCCCCCCACCUGCCCCGGGUCUGCACAGUCCCCCAUGGUGGAGGCGCCGGUGCCCCAGGCUGGGACACAGACUCAGCUGGGCUGGGUCCAGUUAGCGGGUCCUCAUCCUGAAGCACCAUGAGACUCAUGCCAAGUGAAUAAACAAGAACAUUUCGACGCUGCUGGGUCAAAGGUCAAUGUAAAUAUCUUCCCAAAUCCUAUUUUCAAGUAGCUGAACCCUUUCACCUGGACUAGUAAAUCAAACUUCCUUCAAAUGUGUUUUUUAAGUGAUAUGACAAUUUGCUUUUCUUCACUGCUUGCCAAAGGUGGGCUUCAGAUUAUUUGGACAGAAAGUGGUAGGUGGUCAGUACAGCCUGAGGGAUGUCUGGAGGGUCCCUAUAGGCUCAGUAGAGUUUACAGCCCUGAAAGGGUCCCAGUGGUCCCAGGCUUGUAAAAGUGGCUGAAGCAGCAACUAAUUAACGCACUGCAGCCUUGAGAGUGAUUCUUGGUCACCGUGGUGACCACACAGCCUAAGCAGACCCAGAUUCCUGCUGAGACUGUAUGCCAGGCAGGUCCUCCAAGUUGCCUUGGGGACUGGACCCAUGUUCUCCAUCAGCAGAGGAAGGUGGGAGCCUAUGGCUGGGCAUCCUUUGACAAUGGAGGAAGGUCCAGCAUGAGGCAGUGUCCAUGCUAGUGGACACUCACAAGGAUGCUUGAGCCUCUGUUUGGAGCUUCCUCCUGCAGCUCAGGAUGAUGGAGCCACUGGGCUGAAGUAUGCACAGGGAAGGGACAGUGCAGAGCACUCCUGGUCUCCUGGGGGUGUCCCUCACUGGAGACUGUUGGGAGCAAGGGUCACCCACCAGCCAGGAUUUUGCCCUCCAGCCAAGUCCGGAUAGUUUACGGAUAAACUGUGGUGCAUCCAGACAGUGGAAUAUCAUUCAGCAAUAAAAAACGCUCUCUCAACCCACGGAACGACACGAGGAACCUCAAAUGCAUAUUACUAAGGAAAAAAGCCAGUCUGAAAAGGCUAUAUCCUGGAUGAUUCCAACUAUAUGACAUUCUGGAAAAGGCAAAACUAUGGAGACAGUGAAAGGAUCAGUGGUUGCCAGGGGUUAGGGGCGGGAAAAGGAUGAAUCCAGGGAGCACAGAGGAUUUUUAGGGUAGUGAAAUGAGUCUGUAUGAUAUUAUGAUGGAUACAUGUAAUUUUACAUUUGUCCAAACCCAUAGAAUGCACAACACCAAGAGUGAACCCCAAUGUAAGCUGUGGACUUUAGUUAACAAUAAAGUAUCAAUAUUGGUUCCUUAGUUGUAAUAAAUGUAUCACACUAACCAAUGCAAGAUGUUCCUGAUGGGGAAACUGUGGGGGUGGUGGUGGAUAUGGGAACUCUAUACUCUCUCUGCUCAGUUUUUCUGUGAAUCUAAAAUUGUUCUUUAAAAAUCUAUUAAUUAAAAACAAAACAAAAUACAACUUAAAAUACUGGCAGCAAAAGCAGGUGAGCAGGGCUUCCCUGGUGGCGCAGUGGUUGAGAGUCUGCCUG
Long non-coding RNA from Globicephala melas (long-finned pilot whale), 12980 nucleotides. RefSeq lists it as uncharacterized. The record is from RefSeq and is a predicted model, not a curated record. Lineage: Eukaryota; Metazoa; Chordata; Mammalia; Artiodactyla; Delphinidae.